CCGAGGUAAUUCUUUUAAGCUAUUAUUUAGAUAUUUUAUAUAUGAAUACAAAGUACACAGCUACACUAUAAGAAUAAACAACCAAAAAAAUCAACCUAUUAGAUCAAUUUUAUGGUGAGGGGUGAGGCUGCACUUGAUCAAAUCAAGGGUGAAGUGAGAAACUUGAUCCAAAUAGUGAAGUCGAAGAGUUAUGAACUAUGCCACUUUAGAUCAAGGGAAAAGAAAUAGAACAUAUAUAUUAAUAAAGUUGAAAAUAUCAUAAUUCAUACAUCAACAUACACUAAAGGAAUGAAAGUGGAAAAAAAGUAGAACUUCUUUUUGUUGUAAGAAUAGGAGAAAAAACAACUAGACCCUUCAGCUAGAAGGACCUAAUAACACAUAUUAGCAAGAAAAUCUGCAAGCUUUAUUUGCUUCCACGUAUCAGUGUAUGUUGAAUAACUUGUUUAACUUAUAUAGGAAUUGCAUUAGUGACGGAAGGAUAGACCACAGUGGCGGGAUGCGCCAUGAUUUUGCGACCCUUCAUAUGGCGGAAGGGAUAGACGAUAGCACCUACCGGCCACUCCACCAACGCCGCCACCGCAAACGCCAGAAACCCGAGCGUUGGCCCAACCACUUUGCACCGGCAAGGGUUGCUGGUGGUGCCACAUUGAACGCAAAUUGGAACCCCUACUCCAACCAUCUUAUGAUCAAGUAAAAGGAAUAGAAUUGCUUAUAAUACUUUGUAAAAUUGAAUCGAAGAAGAGCACUUUGCAACUUGAUUAAGUUCAACGAACUAACUAUAGGAGCUUAGUCAUUAUAUAGAACGGAUUUUAAUUUCUU
RNAcentral lists this long non-coding RNA (819 nucleotides) under Lupinus angustifolius (narrow-leaved blue lupine). RNAcentral describes it as "long non-coding RNA (LANG_LNC001748)". The record is from RNAcentral. Lineage: Eukaryota; Viridiplantae; Streptophyta; Magnoliopsida; Fabales; Fabaceae.